GCUGGGGCUCAGUGGUAGAGCGCUCACCUAGCAUGUUCAGGGUGCUGGGUUCGAUCCUCAGCACUGCA
Molecule: transfer RNA, 68 nt
Filed under: Marmota monax (woodchuck)
Lineage: Eukaryota; Metazoa; Chordata; Mammalia; Rodentia; Sciuridae
Description: tRNA.Ala
Source: RNAcentral